CAAGCUACUGACGUGAAGCAGGAUUCAAUUCCGGACAAAUUAGCCCGCUGUGUUUCGAAAAUCGCCAAAUUUCGACGAAAUAGGCUAUAUUUUAGGCUGUAUCCUACACUAUAAAAAAGCGGGCUCCUUUUAAGCUUUCGAUCACGAUGCAUAAUUGCACAUUGCAUAUGCAAUGCAUCAAUGAUCUCACGGAGAUUAUAACGGCAAACUGUUGCUUCUACCCCCACCAUGAGAGAAAUACCAAUCAUGAUUAAAGAAUGCUAUUCAUUUUUAAAACCCCUCUACGAUAUUCAGUUCACUAUCUGUAUCUACUUUUACUUACACACAUAGGUAUUUUUUUUAUUUAUUACACAUUUUUUUAUAAAUAUAACCCAAUACCUGAGACUGAUACUCCAGCAGGUAAAUAUUUCGCGAAUCGGUGAGAAAAAAAUCAAUUUCUCUUUUCGUAAAAAAAAAUAAUGUGGAAAUAAAAUUGUACGCUCAGAUGUGUUUCAGUUUUCAUGCGAUUUUCAAAUAAAUUAUUUUCGGUUUCAAUAUUGCAAAGAUCUCAGUAAAACCAUGUCAAAUUUUAAACACUUUCCAUUGUUAUUAUUCAUCUCGUUAUCUUGUAUCAGCCUGGCUUUAGCAUUUGUUAAGGGAGAUAAAUACGAUGAAAGUACUUUUUCAAAAAUUAACGGCAAUAAAGAAAAAAGUAAUAGCGGAGUUCCGAAAGAAUUAUCAAAAAAAUCACCGUUCAGGUUAUCAGCCGUGGGAAUAAUUAUGCUAAUUUUAACCAUAAUUUUAAGCGGUAUAUUUAUUUAUUACUUCUUUUUAUUUUACCCAAUUUUAUGCCGAAAAGAAAGAAAUUACGAUGUAGUUGAACAUUCAAGAGACACUACCCCGACACCCUUGCCUACCCCAAAUCCGGAAAACGCGCUGUAAACUUUCAUUUAUCUUUAGCACUUUAUGCAACUUGCCUGCAAAAUCUGGUUCCUAUGAUUUACUUUUUUUUAAAAACUGCUUUUUUUUUAAAGUUUACGCUUUUGUUUAUGUAUUGCCUAAGAUUAUGAUUUUUUUUAUGAAAGAAAAUUUUCUCCUCAACUUUUAUUGAAUUCCUGUAGGUUAUCGAUAAGCUUUCAUUUUGAUUAAUUUAUAUGCUCGAUUAUUGUAAUUAUGUAAGUUUGCUGAAAAUGCAUGUAGGCACGUAAUUUUGUAUUGUUUCCAUGCUUCUUUUUUUUUCUUUGGAGACUGCUUUUCGAUUAUUUCAAAGUUUUGCAAUCAUGACGUCCUUGCUCUCAAUAAAUUAUUUGAUUUUUCUAA
Molecule: long non-coding RNA, 1299 nt
Organism: Planococcus citri (citrus mealybug)
Lineage: Eukaryota; Metazoa; Arthropoda; Insecta; Hemiptera; Pseudococcidae
Exons: 3
Source: RefSeq, a predicted model, not a curated record